RNAcentral lists this ribosomal RNA (464 nucleotides) under uncultured bacterium. RNAcentral describes it as "partial 16S ribosomal RNA". It matches the Rfam family "Bacterial small subunit ribosomal RNA", at positions 339 to 795 of the family's 1533-position model. The record is from RNAcentral.
CUACGGGGCGCUGCAGUGGGGAAUUUUGGACAAUGGGGGCAACCCUGAUCCAGCCAUGCCGCGUGAGUGAAGAAGGCCUUCGGGUUGUAAAGCUCUUUCAGCCGGGAAGAAAUCGCAUGGGUUAAUACCCUGUGCGGAUGACGGUACCGGAAUAAGAAGCACCGGCUAACUACGUGCCAGCAGCCGCGGUAAUACGUAGGGUGCGAGCGUUAAUCGGAAUUACUGGGCGUAAAGCGUGCGCAGGCGGAUGCUUAAGUCAGAUGUGAAAUCCCCGGGCUUAACCUGGGAAUUGCAUUUGAAACUGGGUGUCUAGAGUGCGUCAGAGGGGGGUGGAAUUCCACGUGUAGCAGUGAAAUGCGUAGAUAUGUGGAGGAACACCAAUGGCGAAGGCAGCCCCCUGGGAUGACACUGACGCUCAUGCACGAAAGCGUGGGGAGCAAACAGGAUUAGAUACCCGAGUAGUC